UACGAGGGGGGCGAGCGUUGUUCGGAAUUAUUGGGCGUAAAGGGUGCGUAGGCGGUUUGGUAAGUCUCUUGUGAAAUCUAUGGGCUCAACUCAUAGUCUGCAAGGGAAACUGCCGGGCUUGAGUGUGGGAGAGGUGAGUGGAAUUUCCGGUGUAGCGGUGAAAUGCGCAGAUAGUCGGAGGAACACCGGUGGCGAAGGCGGUUCUCUGGGCCUUGACCUGACGCUGAGGAGCGAAAGCG
This 239-nucleotide ribosomal RNA is filed under the name uncultured bacterium. Its description in RNAcentral is "partial 16S ribosomal RNA". It matches the Rfam family "Bacterial small subunit ribosomal RNA", at positions 524 to 761 of the family's 1533-position model. The record is from RNAcentral.